RNAcentral lists this long non-coding RNA (9230 nucleotides) under Homo sapiens (human). RNAcentral's name for it is "HSALNT0282160". Lineage: Eukaryota; Metazoa; Chordata; Mammalia; Primates; Hominidae. The record is from RNAcentral.
UCAAGCAAUCUGCCUGCUUUGGCCUCCCAAAGUGCUAGGAUUAUAGGCAUGAGCCACCACACCCAGCCAGAAAAUAGUUUUUAAAACUGUAAAUAUUAUUGAUUUAUUCAUUAUGGUCAAAUUAAAAGGGAAAUAAUAAUUCAAAAAGAAAACGAAUCCAUUUCUUUUCUUUUAAAACAUCCAUUUCUCCAAAAGUUUCCUAAGGACUACCUACAUCAUUGUUGUUCAAAGUUUAAUGUACAUCUAAUGUCCUGGGGAUGUUGUUAAAGUGUAGAAUUUGAUUCAGUAGCUCUGAGAUGGGGCCCAAGAUACUGCAUCCCACUUUGGGAUGUGAGGCCAGGAAUUUUAAAUUAUCUCCCCAGUAAUGAUGUACUUUUUAAAGGACUGAAGAAUAAUCAUCCACAAAUUCAGCCUAUAUUUACUUUAAUGAUCCACAGCAUUGUGUAUAUUCGUGUUAAAACUCAAGAAAAGUCAAGUUCCAUCCAAACAGCAGGACCAAAAUAGCACAUUUAGUACCAUGGUAAAAUUACAUCUUUAAAGGGAACUAGCAUUUGCUGGCAGCCUAUUUAUUUUGCAAGGCAAUGUGCACCAUGCUUUCCAUACAUCAUUUCUUUUAAUCCUUCCAUUUCAGUGGAGGCAACUAAAGACAGAGUCCCUGCCUAAGGUCAGAAUCUGGAUUCAACAGAAAUCAGCCUGUCUCUACCUGCUAUUUUUGCUUCUUUCUAUUUUUAUGUUCUAUCUUAUCAUCUCAUCUCCCUCCAGGUAGUAGAUAGGAUUAUUAUUCCCAACUAUUCUUCCCUCCCUCCUUAUAAUAGGAGGAAGCAUCCCUGCUCAUUGUCACGGGGGAGAAGUGUACGUCCCCACUUCAUUGACUUUGGCCCUAUGACACACUUUGACCAAUAAAAUGUGUGCAGAUAUGACACUGACUACCUCCAAGCAGAAGUUUUAACUGAGUUUCACAGUUGGAAUAGGCCCGCUUGUUUUCCUGGUCUCCACCAAUGGCACAUCCCAGAUAGAAACUGUUCUUUCAGCAUUACUUUUAACAAGAGAAACUUAGAAAUAGCCUAUUGUCUAUAACAGAUAAUAAUGACAAAGACAGUUAACAUGGAAAAAUACAUAAUGUAAAAUGAAAAAAGUAUAAUAUGGUUAUGAUUACACCUGUGGUAAACUGCAACACACAUAUGCACCGGGGAAAAAAGACUGAAAGGAAAUAUAUACCAAAAUAUAAUCAAGAUUUUGUUAGAAUUAUGAUUCAUUUUUGUCUUCUUCCCUAAGUGUUACAGUGUCACAUUGCUUCAAUAAUAUACAAAUUCCUCUGCGACUUUCAAAAUUCAAGGCAAUUUAAGACCCCCCAGCAGUCCAUGGACUCAGCUAAUAAGGCAAUCCUACAGCAGAGACCACUUUUGAGGAGCUUCAUGAUUACACUGAUCCCACCCAGAUAAUCCAGGAUAAUUUCCCUAUUUUAAAGUCAGCUGAGUAGCAGCCUUAAUUCCAUUUCCAAAUCUUAAUUCCCCUUUGCCAUAUAACAUGCUCACAGGUUCCAGGGAUUAGGAUACAUAGACAUCUUUGGAGGGUGUCUUAGCCCAUUUUGUCUUACUCCAUUUUGUAUUGCUAUAAAAAAAAACAAAACAAAACCUGAGACAAGGCAAUUUAUAAAGAAGAGGUUUUCUUAGCUCACAGCUCUGCAGGCUAAAAAGUUCAAGGGCAUGGCCCUGGCUUCCGGCAAUGGCUUUCAUGCUACAUCACAACAUGGCAGAGAAGGUCAAAAAGGAAAGAGACACUUGUGAAGACAGAAAACCUGAGGGGCGUCCUGGCUUUAUAACAACCCACUCACUCAGGAGCUAAUCCAUUCUCCGUGGGAACUAAUCCAGUCUAGGGAGAGCAACAACUCGCUACUGUGAAAACAGCACCAACCCAUUCAUGAAGGAUCCACCCCUAUGAUCCAAACACCUCCCAUUAAUUAGGCCCCACCUCUAACACUGGGGAACAAACUUCAGCUUAAGUUUUGCUGGGGAGAAACCAUAUCCAAACCACAGCAGAGAGCCAUUAUUCUACCUAUCACACUGUGCUACUUCAUAUAAAAUAAUUUAAUAUUUAAUAAACUGGCUAAUACCAUAGAUUCCCAUAACAACAUACACCAUGAAGUCGUUUCUGAUCUUAUACUUUUCUCUUCCCUGUGGCUAAUCAACAUUCAGUCUCUUAAAGCAGUACUUAUCUAUAGAAGUGUACUUAAAUGAAUGAUUGUUCUCUCUCAUUUAUUCAGCACUGACGGAGGGUUAAGUCCCAUAGAAAUAAAUCAGACACAGUCUCUGCCACAAGGCACUCACCCACUAGAGGCAGGAACAAAAUGGAGAGGAUGAAGUGAAAUCCCAGCACUGAUAUCAGGGCUACUAGAGGGACCUUUAAAGUUCUGUGGAGCUGUAACUGAGGUUGCUGGUGAAGACUUCUCUGAAGAGUGCAUUUGGGCUGAAUGUUUAUGGAAGAAAAGAGAAGCAAGGGGCUGAAGCCUUAAGAUUCAACAUGGUGUCAAGGGUGUGAGGAAGCAGCCCACCAUGCUGGUGAUCACAGAUGGCGGCUGAGUAGGGAGUUGACUACAGGUUGAUGCUGAAUUCUACUGGAGAAUAGCAUCACUUAAAAAACUAGAAAGGGAAGAGGAAUCCAGCCUAGAUCCUGAGAAGAAAGGAUCAUAUAGGCUAAAAGAAGAAGAAAAAGUACCCAGAAACUGGCAGCAAGUUAAAAACAGACAGGUGUCAUUGAGAAACAGCCACUGGAGUCCACCGUUAGGUCAUUGAUGAGCAAAAGCCAGAUCAGCGUCCCUAAGGGAGGCCAGGAAACAAAUUGCAACAAACUGGGGAGUUAAGGGGACAAGAGAAGGCAGGGAACAGAAAGAAAUAAGAAGAGUAACAAGAGGAAGGUGGAGGACAAGAAGGCAGGGGAUGACAGAGAGGAAGGGGAGAGUCAGGAGGGAGGGAAGGAACUUUCCUGAGCUACUACCAAGCACCAGUCCCUGUACUUGUACAUUACCAUAUAAGGAAUUAAUCGAAGUUGAAAAAGCUAUGAGUCUUCUUACCAGUUUCCUUUUCAAUAGUCAAGUAUUGAAAAGAAGCGGUAUGUAGGAUGAAGUAAACAGUCUUACAAGUUUGGACACAUUUGUAGACCAAGAAGAACCAACAGAAAGGGAGAGCAAGACAAAAUAGGUCAUAGACAGAAUGACUGUUAGAUUAGGUCCCAGAGGAGGCAAAAAUGGGUGGGAAUCAAGAGCACAGGUAGGGGAUUGGUUUUGGGUGAGAGACAGAGGACCCUCUUCUCUGAAGUGGGUAGAGGUGCUAUACCAUCCAAAUGGAAGGAGAGGGCUGUGAAAUAGGAGGGAAGUGAAAGAUAUCAGUGGGGAUAGGGAGAAGGAAAAUAGAGAAUCCCAAAGUUUGAAAGCAAAAGAAAUCUCCUUCAUUAUUUUGGUACUUGAUCAAAAUUAUAGUCCUAAUUAUACAAAUCAGAGUUUAAGCAAAACUCUUUGUGGUUAUACCUUGAAGCAGCUCUGUUAACUUAGGUAAGUCAGUUAAACUUCAUAAGCUACAACUUAAAAGAGGGGAAUUUGGUGAUUCUAGUGUCCCUUCCAGCUCUACAUUUCAAUGGCUCCAAGGACAGAGCUCAAACCCUAACCAUAGUGUCAGCUUACCUACCAAAAACAAACAAAAACAGUCAUAUGGGAACAAAACUCAAGGUGAACGUAAUUUAAAUACCUUUGGGUCAUUUUCGCAUCUUGCUUUUGAGAGUGACAGCCACAACAGAUGGUUACUGCUGACAAGGGCUGCAUCAUUAGUCCUAAUGAUAAUCGAUGUUUUUAUAGCCCUUUACUAUUUAUAAAGAGCCUUCACACAUGAAAUGUUUUAUUGGCUUCCCCAAACACCCACAUGAGAUAGGUAAAGCUACUGUACUAUUUAUUCUAUCCACUUUCUAGUUGAGGAAACUGAGGCUUAUAGUUGAUGACUUGCCCAAGGCACCAAAGCAGACAGUGCCUAUGACUCGAAUUCAGGUACUCCAGAUUCAAAAAUCACUAUUUCAUUUUUAUUUGUUUACAUGCCGUUUAGUGCUCUUUACACACAACUCCUUGCUUCUUCAUUAGGUUGGAAAUAGAAAAUUUUAAAGAGUUAAAAGAAAUUUGCAUACUUUCAUUCUUUUAAUUGAUCCUGGCAAUACAGUUUGUUGAAACGCAUGUAUAACCUUAAUUUCCAAGUGAUAAAUGACUGAUUGGAAUCCAAAGGGCAGAGAUAGCAUUAGGAUUCAAGUAUUUCAAUGUUCUCAUUCUCGGGAUGAGUGAACAGAGGCCUCACUGGCAAAUGGCUUGUGGAAGCAGAGCCAACACUAGAACUCAGGGCCUCCAUCAACCCUGGGGCUUUCGGCACUGGCCAAGUCUUACACAGCUUCAAACAAAAGUUAACGGAAUUGCUCCUUAACAAUGAAAUGGUUCAGAUUUAAAUAAUUUGGGGAGCUCAUUCUCUUGUUUUUACAUGUGCAAACCAUAUGGACACUGCCUAUUAGUGGUACUAGAAUUCUCUGGAGCAAAUUCUCUUCUCAAAUGGGAGGGUUUGUAAUGACAGUCAUGCCUCAUUUUACUACAUGAGAAGUAAAUGGAUCCAAUAAGGAAUCCAUCUGAGGGAGCUUUAAAGCAACUGAAACUGCCUCCAUUACCAUCUUCUACCUACAAAGUGUUUUCUAGACAAAUUAAAAUUUGAAAAACUUAAAAAAUGCAAUGAAAAUAUUUUGAAGACAACCAUAUUGUCUAAGUAUUCCCAUUUUCCUCCUUUGAAAAUAUUGUAAUGAGUCAGCAGGUGCUUACUACCAAAAUUACUUUUUAUCAUGAAGCUAAAAAACGUUUAAUGUUUAAACAGAAGACUCCAUGAGAAUAGAUGAGAACAUGCAAAUGCUGCAUAUUAUGAAGUUACAGAUCCCAUCUUACAUGUUGCAUGGAGAAAAAUCUCUGAGGCUUCCAUUAGACUAUAAGGGACUCAAAAACAAGAAUGCCAGAGGAAGGGAACGCUGCUGAGGUGAGCUGAUAGUCUGAUUUCCUUUCCUCCGGGGAAUUGAGAACUCUGAGCUCAUCCUAAUGAGACUUGUGAAGAGAAGGGAUUUCUGCUGGGAGAAAGAGAACCAGCAAAGCUUUAUGGUGAAUACACAAAAGCUGAUGUGACAGAUGGGAACUAUUCCCGUUUACUCAGUUCUGGGGAAAGAGAGUGAGAUAUUAGGCUAAGGGUUUCUAGAAGGCAGAGUGAAAUCUCCUACAGUUUCAUAGUGCUUUGGAGACAGCAUUUUAGGAGAGUAGGAGUGUUCCCUCAAAUACAUAACCAGUUUUACCCUCAAACAGUUGCAAGAAUUUGAAAUUCUGGGAGCAGGAGGUUAAACUCAAGACCUCCAAAGGGCAGGACUGAAUCUUCCACAGUUUUGCAUCUUCCACAGUUUUGCAGGACUAAGAAAACAAAGGUCUUCCAGGCUUUUGAUCAAAGUCCAGGAGAGCCAUGCCUGAGAAGCACAGACAAGCAUAGCUGGAUUGAGUCUUCAUAAAACUGCAAUCUGGCCUUAACUUAGCUUAAUUCUCAAUGGAGUGAAAGUGUUCAGUCCUUCACUGCAUUUACCUAACAAAGUAAAGAGGAGAAAUUUUCUCUGGAGGAAGAUAUAAUCUAGAGUUAGUAAGGUUCUUUUGGACAUUAUAAUGCCCAACAUAAAAUUAAAUAAGUAUGAGACCUGAGAACUGCAAGAAAAUGUAACCAAUAUUCAAGAGAAAAAUAAGAAAGAUGCAGAUUCACAGAUGAUCCAGAUAUUGGAUUUAGAUGAGACCUUUAAAAUAACAUGAUUAAUUGAUUUAAAAAGUAAGAAUAAAAACAGGAAAUGGGUGAAAAGAGAAAUUCACCAGAAAUUUCAACAGAGAACUAGAAAGUAGCUUUAAAAAAGAAUCAAAUGGACAUCCUAGAAAAAAAAAUCUGAAAUUAAGAAAAAAUACAGUUAUCCGAAAUUAAUCCACUGAAUGGGUUUAAUGGCAGACUGGACACAGCAAAACACAAGAUUAGUAAACUGAAUAUAGAGGCUAAUGAAAAAUAUCCAUUAUUAAAAGCCAAAUAGAAAAAGGGGGAAAAAAGAAGCAGAUCCUAAGAAAUACCAAAGGGUCUCAUGUCCUUGUAAAUUGGAGAACCAGAAGGAGGGGAAAGACAGAAUACGGCAGAAUCAAACGAGAUGAUGGCUAAGAGUUUUCCAAUACUGAUAAAAGACAUCAACCUUCAGAAUCAAGCUCACCAGCCCAAAGCAGGAUGGAUAUACAAGGAAAUCAGAGUUGGACUUGUGAGUGUCAAAUGCUUAGUACAAAAAUAUGGCAAAAACUGAGGAAGUCAUAUAGUAGCAGCAAACUGAGUCCAAUACAACUUAGCCUCCUCUCCUUGGAAAGGUUAUGAUUGAGAACAGUGACUGGGGACUCACCCUAACACAAUAAUAAAAUGUUACACUGUAGCAGGGUUGUAGUCACUCUGCUCUUGACCAAGUACAGAAAACCCCACAAUAACAUAAACUUGAAUAUGCAGAUGGUCCAUGGUUCCACUUACGAUUUUUCUACUUUACGAUGGUGCAAAAGUGAUACAUAUUCAAGAGAAACCAUACCUGGAGUACUCAAAUAGGCAUUGUUUUUUCACUUUCACUACAGUAUUUGAUAUGUUACAUGAGAUAUUCAACACUUUACUAUAAAAUAGGCUUCAUGUUAAGAUGAUUUUGCCCAAUUGUAGGCUAAUGCUACAUGUUCUGAACACGUUUAAGGUAGGCUAGGCUAAGCUAUGAUGUUUGACAGAUUAGGUGUAUUAAAUGCAUUUUCAACUUAAUGAUAUUUUCAACUCACGAUGUCUUUAUCAGGUUAAGUUGAAGAGCAUCCAUACUGUGAUGGAUGAUUACCUCGUGGUUUCCACCUGGCCACUGAUUUCAUUUCAUUAACAUAAUGAUGCAACUCCAGUACACCCAAGAGAUAUAUCUGCACUCCCAUGUUUAUUGCAGCACUAUUCACACAACAGCCAAGAUCUGGAAGUAACCUUAAGUGCUCAGAUGAACAGAUAAAGAAAAUGUGGUACAUAUACCCAAUGGAGUACUAUUUAGCCAUGAGAAAGAAUGAGAUCCUGUCAUUUGCAACAACAUGGAUGGAACUGGAGGUCAUGUUAAGUAAAAUAAGCCAGGCACAGAAAGACAACCAUUGCAUUUUCUGACUAAUACGUGGGAGCUAAAAAUUAAAAUAAUUGAACUCACAGAGAUAGGGAGUAGAAGGAUGGUUACCAGAGACUGGGAAGGAUAGUGGGGGGUUGGAGGAAAGUGGGGAUGAUUAAUGGGUACAAAAAAUAGAAUUAAUAAGACCUACUAUUUGACAGCACAACAGGGUGACUACAGUCAAAAAUAAUUUUUUUGUUUUGUUUUAUUUGAGAUAGAGUCUCGCUCUGUCACACAGGGUGGAGUGCAGUAGGGCAAUCUCGGCUCACUGCAACCUCUGCCUUCUGAGUUCAAGAGAUUUCCUCAUUCAGCCUCCCGAGUAGCUGGGAUUAUAGGCACCCACCACCACGCCCAGCUAAUUUUUUUUUUUUUUUUUUUUUUGAGAUGGAGUCUUGCUCAGUCACCCAGGCUGGAGUGCAGUGGUGUGAUCUCGGCUCACUGCAAGCUCCGCCUCCCGGGUUCACACCAUUCUCCUGCCUCGGCCUCCCUAGUAGCUGGGACUACAGGCACCUGCUACCAUGCCCAGCUAAUUUUUUGUGUAUGUUUUUUAGUAGAGACGGGGUUUCACCAUGUUAGCCAGGAUGGUCUCGAUCUCCUGACCUCAUGAUCCACCUGCCUCGGUCUCCCAGUAAUUUUUGUAUUUUUAGUAGAGACGAGGUUUCGCCAUGUUGGCCAGGGUGGACUUGAACUCCGUACCUCAAGUGAUCCGCCCGCCUCAGCCUCCCAAAGUGCUGGGAUUACAGGCUUGAACCAUGGCACCCAACCUAAUUUUUGGUGUUUUUUGGGGUUUUUUUUUGAGACAGGGUUUGGCUCUGUCUCCCGGGUUGGAGUGCACUGGCGCAGAUCAAGGCUCACUGCAGUCUUGACCUCCCGGGCUCAAGUGAUUUUCCCACCUCAACCUCCCGAGUAGCUGGGACCACAGGUGUAGCCACCAUGUCCGGCUCAUUUUUCUUAUUAUUUUUUAUGGAGACAGGGUUUUGCUAUGUUGCCCAGGCUGGUCUCAAACUACUGGGCUCAAGGGAUCCUCUUGCCUAAGCCACCCAAAGUGCUGGGAUUACAGGCACAUUCCACUGUGCCCAGCCCAAAAUAAUUGUACAUUUAAAAAUAGCUAAAAGAGUAUAAUUGGAUUGUCUAUAACACAAGUGAUAAAUGCUUGAGGUGAUGGAUCUGCCAUUUAAUUUACCCUGAUGUGAUUAUUACACAUUACAUAUCUAUAACAAAAUAUCUCAUGUAACCCAUAAAUAUAUGUACCUAUGUGCCCAUAAAAAUUAAAAAUUAAAAACUAUACUCAGAGUUUAAAAAUAAUGCAACUCCACAUUUUAUGCAAUCAAAUUUUAAAAUCUCAAUUAUAGUUUUAUGAUGUAGUUUUUGCUGAAACUGGAUGGGGGAGCUCCAACCAAACUAUUAAAACUUGAGGCCAGCACGGUGGCUCACACCUGUAAUCCCAGCCCUUUCGGAGGCCGAAGUGGGCAGAUCACCUGAGGUCAAGAGUUUGAGACCAGCCUGGCCAACAUGGUGAAACCCCAUCUCUACUAAAAAAUACAAAUUUAGCCAGGCAUGGUGGUGAGUGCCCAUAGUCCCCAGCUACUCGGGAGGCUGAGGCAGGAGAAUCACUUGUACCCGGGGAGGCACAGGUUGUAGUGAGCUAAGAUCAUGCUACUGCACUCCAGCCUGGGCGAUGGAGUAAGACCCUGUCUGAAGAGAAAAAAAAAAAAAAAAAAAAGGCCGGGUGCAGUGGCUCACGCCUGUAAUCCCAGCACUUUGGGAGGCCGAGGUGGGUGAAUCACAAGGUCAGGAGUUUGGGACUAGCCUGGCCAACAUGGUGAAACCCCAUCUCUACUAAAAAUACAAAAAAUUAGCUGGGUGUAGUGGCGGGCAACUGUAAUCCGAGCUAUUCGGGAGGCUGAGGCAGGAGAAUCACUUGAACCUGGAAGGUGGAGGUUGCAGUGAGUCAAGAUCGUGCCACUGCACUCCAACCCUGGCGACAAAGUGAGACUCCG